Molecule: long non-coding RNA, 1269 nt
Organism: Chenopodium quinoa (quinoa)
Lineage: Eukaryota; Viridiplantae; Streptophyta; Magnoliopsida; Caryophyllales; Amaranthaceae
Exons: 3
Source: RefSeq, a predicted model, not a curated record
UGACUUUCGCGAGGAAACAACAUAAAUUGCAACAACUAGAUGUUGAAAAGAAGCCACCAUCCUUAGCACACGUGUACAAAGAAAGUCGUAAAAGGAAAGCAGACAAACAAUACAAAACUUCUUAUGAGCCCACCCAAAGUAACAUUGACAAGAUGGAGGAGGUCCAAAUGCAAAGUGAAAUUGAUGGAGAUUUUGCAUACUAUGAAGUAAUGAAUAAUAAACCAAAUAACUUUGGCCAUAAAAAAAAAAAAAAAAAAAAAAAAAAAAAAAAAAAAAGUAUCUAGGGAUAUGUUCACUAAGGGGAAAGAGCAACAGACCAAUAAUUCCCGAUGAGUUGUUAAAGCCUUAUAAAGACAAAAUUGUGAAAGAAACAGUAGCAGAAUUAAUGAAGACGCUCAAGCAAAUUGAUCCUAAAGUGGUGGAUACGUUGACUCGAUCACUUGAAAAUGUGUCAUCCAUUCCAGAACUUAGAGAUCAUGUUCCUAAUUUACAGUCUAUUGAACAACAACAAAAUGAGGUAAUGGUUAAAUAUUCACUUUUAGAAAGCACUAAAUGUGAUUAUUAUUUUUUGUUCUGGUUGUCUGAUAUAUGUUGCUUUUAUAAAUACAUAGGAUCAAAUGGUUGAAGAUGAAGAAUUGGAGUAGCAAGUCAGAUGACAUGAGCGUGAUUGCAUACAAGUACAUAGUACUAGUAGUUGAUGUUGUUACCAUCGUUGUUGUUUCCGCUUUCUGCUGCUGUUUUUGCUCUUCGCCUGUUACUGCUUUCUGCUGCUACCUGUUACUGCUUUCUGCUGCUAGUUGUUACUACUUUCUGCUCAUGUUUUCUGCCCAAUGUUGCUGAGGCAUGCUGCUGUUUUCUUCCUGAUGUUGUUGAUGCAUGCUGUUGUCACUGCUAUCUACUACUAUCGUUGUCUGCUGUUACUGCUAUUUGCUGCCUUGGUACUGCUAUAUUUCCUUGUAGCUGCUGCUUAUGCUUUCUCUGUCCGGACAAUGUCAACUGCUGCGCUGCCUGCUAAUGUCAUUAUUGCCAUUCUUUUUUUUUUAAUAAGUUUUGAAACAAAGAAGUGGGAAGAAUUUGGUGGUCUAAUUUAAAGGCCAAAGCUGACUUAUUUCUGUUUUUUUUUAUUUUAUUUUUUUUAUUUUUAUUUUUUUUUUACUUAUCCGAUUCAAACAAAAAAUUGGUGUUUAUGGAUUUUUGUAAACAAACUAUGAAAUUACAUACAUUCAAAUAAUUGUUUAUCGUAUAUGUUAAAUUCACUAUCGUUGUUGU